Molecule: ribosomal RNA, 301 nt
Filed under: uncultured bacterium
Lineage: Bacteria
Description: partial 16S ribosomal RNA
Rfam family: Bacterial small subunit ribosomal RNA
Source: RNAcentral
CAGCAGCCGCGGUAAUACGUAGGUGGCAAGCGUUGUCCGGAAUUAUUGGGCGUAAAGGGCUCGCAGGCGGUUUCUUAAGUCUGAUGUGAAAGCCCCCGGCUCAACCGGGGAGGGUCAUUGGAAACUGGGAAACUUGAGUGCAGAAGAGGAGAGUGGAAUUCCACGUGUAGCGGUGAAAUGCGUAGAGAUGUGGAGGAACACCAGUGGCGAAGGCGACUCCCUGGUCUGUAACUGACGCUGAGGAGCGAAAGCGUGGGGAGCGAACAGGAUUAGAUACCCCUGUAGUCCCUGUCUCUUAUAC